UACCAGCACCCCGAGUGGUCGGGACGUUUAUUGGGCCUAAAGCAUCCGUAGCCGGUUCUGCAAGUCUUCCGUUAAAUCCACCUGCUUAACAGAUGGGCCGCGGAAGAUACUAUAGAGCUAGGAGGCGGGAGAGGCAAGCGGUACUCGAUGGGUAGGGGUAAAAUCCGUUGAUCCAUUGAAGACCACCAGUGGCGAAGGCGGCUUGCCAGAACGCACUCGACGGUGAGGGAUGAAAGCUGGGGGAGCAAACCGG
This 253-nucleotide ribosomal RNA is filed under the name uncultured bacterium. RNAcentral describes it as "partial 16S ribosomal RNA". It matches the Rfam family "Archaeal small subunit ribosomal RNA", at positions 474 to 727 of the family's 1478-position model. The record is from RNAcentral.